Long non-coding RNA from Numida meleagris (helmeted guineafowl), 688 nucleotides. RefSeq lists it as uncharacterized. The transcript is spliced from 5 exons. The record is from RefSeq and is a predicted model, not a curated record. NCBI's taxonomy places the organism in Eukaryota, Metazoa, Chordata, Aves, Galliformes, Numididae.
CCCUCCUCCUGCAGGACAAUGCUGUGUGGUUGUGGCACAGGGGCCCUGGAAGCGAUGCAGGCAAAGCACCAACGCUCAGACUGGGGCAGCCGUGGCUUUCCCUACUGCAAGCAAAUAUAAAAAGAGAGCUGUGUGAGUCAGGCGCUUUUAAGCUCUGCCCAUGCUGAGCAGCCUCUGGACCUCGAGGUGCAGGGAGGCAUCGUGCUCCAGAUCUGAGAUGGGGAGAGCAGAUGGGCUCAGCGUUGCUGCGGCUGCUCCAGGUCCCGAGUGUGGUGAUGGGUUCCACACAAACCCCAUGUGGAAACUCUGGUGUCUGGGAGCUCCCUGGUACCCGGUGCUUGGUCCAUCACUGCUUUCCUUUUGUCUCCUGCUCCAAAGUGCUGCUGUGCUGGUGCUGAGCUCGCUGCUGGUGACCCAGCCCUUCCCACCCACGGAACGCGUCGGUCGGGAACCCAGAGCUGGAACAGCCUCGUGGGAAACACUGGGACGGAUGAAUCAAGGAGUAAUUUUCUGUUUAUGGAGCAAUUGCUGUGUUGUGCAAGCAGCCCUUUGUCAAGAGAGGGAAUUUACCAGCUGUUGGCAACCCACAUCAGAUCAUUUUAAACGAGUUAUUCAAAAUAUCAUUAAGGAUCCUCAGCUCGCGGAGAAGGAAAGAAAACCAAAACCUGCAGCUGAAGGCGGUGCCUGG